Malus domestica (apple) is the source of this 2036-nucleotide non-coding RNA. NCBI's taxonomy places the organism in Eukaryota, Viridiplantae, Streptophyta, Magnoliopsida, Rosales, Rosaceae. The record is from RefSeq and is a predicted model, not a curated record.
GAAAGCACCAACCAAGCUUACAUGCCCUAAUCCUAUUGCUAUUUAGUACCACCACAGCACCACCUCUUGUUCCCCCACCUCCCUCCCCCUCACGCUCUCCCACCGCCCCUAAACCCACCACAACCCAAAGGCCCACCAUACAAAAGUGUCCACCCAAUCACCACCCGCCCACCGUCACACCAACACCACUAUUUUCCCCAUUACAAAAUUUCAAAUGAUGACGAUGAUCGAAGAAUGACAAGAUAAUGGGCAAAGUCAGACAGAGGUGGACCUGCCCCCACCUCCUCCCACCUCUCUCUCUCUCUCUCUCUCUCUCUCUCGGGGUGGUGCGCGUAGGUUUACUUAACCCAACCCCCACCCUACCACCCUACCACCCCUGGCGCACGUUAGCCACCUCACCCCACACCUAAGCGGUGGCCUCAUCCACCGCUCAUCUCACACGCCCACCCUUAGAUCUCGAAAUCAGCCGCACACCCCUCCACCCACCCUCUUAAACACCCUACCCACAACCACAAUCAUGCUUCCAAACACCACUUUCUCCUCCUCCCUCCUCCCCCUUCCCUUUUUUCUCCUUCCCCUCCCUCCUUCUAUCCUGCGCCACCACCUUAUCCUACAUCCCCAGAUCCCACCCUAAGCAAAACAAUAUCCAUGGCUUCUCCACCGUCUUCCCCGCAGGACGACUCCAUCCUCCCUCUCCAAUCGGACCCACCGCAGGCCGUGCCGCUUGCUCUCCCGGCCCCACCGCUGACCCAAUCCCAGCAAACACAGCCGAACCCAACCCCGCCUUCCUCCCGCCGCCUCCCUCCUCCCUGCUGGUCCCACGACGAGACCGUCGCCCUCAUCGACUCCUACCGCGAAAAGUGGUACUCCCUCCGCCGUGGAAACCUCAAGGCCACCCACUGGCAGGACGUGGCCGACGCCGUCGCUCGGCGAUGCCCGGCUGCUUCUCCCGCGAAGACCGCCGUUCAGUGCCGUCACAAGAUGGAGAAGCUCCGGAAGCGGUACCGGACUGAGAUCCAGCGAGCCAGGUCGAUGCCGUUGUCCAGAUUCACGUCGUCGUGGGUCCACUUCAAGCGGAUGGACGCCAUGGAGAAGGGGCCGGCAGCUGGGAAGAGGGAAAACUCCGAAAGUCCCGGCGAAGAGGAGGAGAACGAGGAGAACGAAGAGGAGGAGGAUCCGGAUCAGGAGCUCUAUGAGGAGCUGAGGUACGGGUCGAAUAUGAAGAGUAUGAGUAAGUUGUAUAGGAAAUGGAGUUGGGGUUGGUGGCGGAAGUGGCGGAAGUGGUGGCGGUGCUGGUGCCGGAAGUGGGUUUAGGAUUAGGAUUCCAACUGGGGUUAGUAUAGCUCAGCCUGGGACCAAGGUGUAUCCGAAGAUGGAUCAGAAAUUCGGGAUGAAUUCGAAUCCAGCGUCGGUUUAUGGGAGUGCUAAGGUGAUGAGAGAGUGUGGGAAUUCGGGGAGGCCCGGAUUGGGGAAGAGAGAAGGGAAUGGGAGGGAGAGGGAGAGAGACCCCGUGGCGGAGAUGGUGUCGGCGAUUAAGCUUUUGGGAGAUGGGUUUGUGAGGAUGGAGCAGAUGAAGAUGGAGAUGGCGAGGGAGGUCGAGGCGAUGCGGAUGGAGAUGGAAAUGAAGCGGACGGAAAUGAUUUUGGACUCUCAGCAAAGAAUUGUGGAGGCUUUUGCGAAGGCGGUUUCGGAGAAGAAGAAGAAGGCCAAGAGAAUGCCAUCCCCUGAGGCAUAGAUGGUGGGAUUGCAUUGGAAGAUAGCAGCCGGUGGUGCUUUUGGAUCAUAGAGGGACUAGGUAAUGUGAGUUUAAUUAGUUGUAAUUUCGUGUUUAACUCUCGUUUACGAGCCACUUUUUACAAUUUCCUUUUGUUUUCAAAGUGUUGAGGGAAUGUGGAACUUGGUCACGUUAGCUUGGUUCUAGUCGAAGAUUGUAGCUUAGUCUUUGUAGCCUGUGGUCUCGCGUAGCGGAAACUAUGUAGAUUAGCUUUUUGUCUCGUGUAGUGGAAACUAUAUAUUCGAGAAAAAUGUUCUCUUGU